Molecule: ribosomal RNA, 1229 nt
Filed under: Avibacterium gallinarum
Lineage: Bacteria; Pseudomonadati; Pseudomonadota; Gammaproteobacteria; Pasteurellales; Pasteurellaceae
Description: partial 23S ribosomal RNA
Rfam family: Bacterial large subunit ribosomal RNA
Source: RNAcentral
GAAGGACGUGCUAAUCUGCGAAAAGCGUGGGUGAGUUGAUAAGAAGCGUUUAACCCACGAUGUCCGAAUGGGGAAACCCGAUAGGCGAAGAGCCUAUCAUUGCGAGGUGAAUAAAAUAGCCUCGUAAGGCGAACCGGGAGAACUGAAACAUCUAAGUACCCCGAGGAAAAGAAAUCAACCGAGAUUCUGUGAGUAGCGGCGAGCGAAAGCGGAGUAGCCAGUAAGUGAUAGCAUGUGAUUUAGGAGAAUUAGCUGGGAAGCUAAGCGACACAGGGUGAUAGCCCCGUAUCUGAAAGAUUGCAUGUGGUACUAAGCUUACGAUAAGUAGGGCGGGACACGAGGAAUCCUGUUUGAAGAUGGGGGGACCAUCCUCCAAGGCUAAAUACUCCUGAUUGACCGAUAGUGAACCAGUACUGUGAAGGAAAGGCGAAAAGAACCCCGGUGAGGGGAGUGAAAUAGAACCUGAAACCCUGUACGUACAAGCAGUGGGAGCCCCAUCAUUAAGCCAAAGGCUCGAUGAUGAGUAGCGCACCUUUUGUUGGAAGUGCGGUUGACUUCACGCAGUGAAGUCUAACCCGAGAAAAUCAAACAGAGGGGGCUUAAUGAUGGGGUGACUGCGUACCUUUUGUAUAAUGGGUCAGCGACUUAUAUUUUGUAGCGAGGUUAACUGAAUAAGGGAGCCGAAGGGAAACCGAGUCUUAACUGGGCGGUUAGUUGCAAGGUAUAGACCCGAAACCCGGUGAUCUAGCCAUGGGCAGGUUGAAGGUUGGGUAACACUAACUGGAGGACCGAACCGACUAAUGUUGAAAAAUUAGCGGAUGACUUGUGGCUGGGGGUGAAAGGCCAAUCAAACCGGGAGAUAGCUGGUUCUCCCCGAAAUCUAUUUAGGUAGAGCCUUGAGCGGACACCUUUGGGGGUAGAGCACUGUUUCGGCUAGGGGCCCAUCCCGGGUUACCAAACCGAUGCAAACUCCGAAUACCGAAGAGUGAUACUCAGGAGACACACGGCGGGUGCUAACGUCCGUCGUGGAGAGGGAAACAACCCAGACCGCCAGCUAAGGUCCCAAAAUCUAUAUUAAGUGGGAAACGAAGUGGGAAGGCUUAGACAGCUAGGAUGUUGGCUUAGAAGCAGCCACCAUUUAAAGAAAGCGUAAUAGCUCACUAGUCGAGUCGGCCUGCGCGGAAGAUGUAACGGGGCUAAAAUAUAGUACCGAAGCUGCGGCAUCAGUA